ACUGAACGCUAGCGGGAGGCUUUACACAUGCAAGUCGAACGAGUGGCGGAAGGGUGAGUAAUAUAGCGGAAAGUGACCAGUAGCGGGGGAUAACUACUCGAAAGAAUGGCUAAUACCGCCUACCACUGGAGCGGCCGGAAUCGGAUUAGCUAGUUGGUGGGGUAAAGGCUCACCAAGGCAACGAUCCGUAGAUGGUUUGAGAGGACGACCAGCCACACUGGGACUGAGACACGGCCCAGACUCCUACGGGAGGCAGCAGUGGGGAAUUGUGGACAAGGGGGGAAACCCUGAUCCAGCCAUGCCGCGUGUAUGAGAAGGCCUUCGGGUUGUAAAGUACUUUUGGCAGAGAGGCGGUAUCUGCAGAAUAAGCACCGGCUAACUACGUGCCAGCAGCCGCGGUAAUAC
RNAcentral lists this ribosomal RNA (405 nucleotides) under uncultured bacterium. RNAcentral's name for it is "partial 16S ribosomal RNA". It matches the Rfam family "Bacterial small subunit ribosomal RNA", at positions 30 to 526 of the family's 1533-position model. The record is from RNAcentral.